GAGAUGUGUGAUGACGCAUAUCAAUAAGCGGAGGAAAAGAAACUAACAAGGAUUCCCUUAGUAACGGCGAGUGAAGCGGGAAGAGCUCAAAUUUGAAAUCUUCAAGGUUCUACCUUGACGAAUUGUAGUUUAUAGAAGUGUUUUCUGUUAGUGGAGUGGCAAAAGUUCUUUGGAAUAGGACAUCAUAGAGGGUGAGAAUCCCGUAUUUGACCGUUACUUUCCAGCUGUGUGAUACACUUUCAAAGAGUCGGAUUGUUUGGGAAUGCAGCCCAAAAUGGGUGGUAAAUUUCAUCUAAAGCUAAAUAUUGGCGAGAGACCGAUAGCGAACAAGUACCGUGAGGGAAAGAUGAAAAGAACUUUGAAAAGAGAGUUAAACAGUACGUGAAAUUGUCAAAAGGGAAGCGUUUGACACCAGUGUUGUUUAGUUGAAAAUCAAUUAAAUAUUUUUCGAUUUUAAGUAGUAUUGACCUUAUCAGCUUGCUGCUUUUUUCUCGGAAAUUAUUUAAUGCACUUUUCAGUUAACAAGUCAACAUCAAUUUCUUUUGUUGUAAAAAGGUAAGAGGAAGGUGGCUUGCGCUUCGGCUCAAGUGUUUAUAGCCUUUUACCCCUGCAAUCGGAGAGAUUGAGGUCUGCAGCGUAGAUCCUUCGGGGUUAGAUACAUUUGUGCUAAGCUAUAGCCUUGUAUAGACAACUUGUUGACUAUGCUCAGUCAUGUAGCUUACUCGCUUAUGCUAUUUUACCUACGCUUAGGAUGUUGACGAUCAGCUGAGCGCG
RNAcentral lists this ribosomal RNA (774 nucleotides) under uncultured Neocallimastigales. RNAcentral describes it as "partial large subunit ribosomal RNA". It matches the Rfam family "Eukaryotic large subunit ribosomal RNA", at positions 23 to 637 of the family's 3401-position model. Lineage: Eukaryota; Fungi; Neocallimastigomycota; Neocallimastigomycetes; Neocallimastigales. The record is from RNAcentral.